RNAcentral lists this ribosomal RNA (399 nucleotides) under uncultured bacterium. RNAcentral describes it as "bacterial SSU rRNA". It matches the Rfam family "Bacterial small subunit ribosomal RNA", at positions 28 to 425 of the family's 1533-position model. The record is from RNAcentral.
GAUGAACGCUAGCGGCAGGCCUAACACAUGCAAGUCGAGGGGCAGCACGUCUUCGGAUGGUGGCGACCGGCGCACGGGUGCGUAACGCGUAUGCAACCUACCUCUUACAGUGGGAUAGCCCAGAGAAAUUUGGAUUAAUACCGCAUAGUAUACAGAUUCAGCAUUGGGACUGUAUUAAACAUUUAUGGGUAAGAGAUGGGCAUGCGUUCUAUUAGUUAGUUGGACGUGGUAACGGCACCCCAAGACAGCGAUAGAUAGGGGCCCUGAGAGGGGGAUCCCCCACACUGGUACUGAGACACGGACUAGACUCCUACGGGAGGCAGCAGUGAGGAAUAUUGGACAAUGGGCGAGAGCCUGAUCCGAGCCAUGCCGCGUGCAGGAAGACGGCCCUAUGGGUUG